GUGAACGCACCGCUGGUGUUCGGGUUGUGAUGCCAAUUGCAUUGCCCGGUAGCUACGUGCGGAAUAGAUAAGUGCUGAAAGCAUCUAAGUACGAAACUAGCCUCGAGAUGAGUUUUCCCUGAUGAGAAUCAGUAAGGUCCGUUUGAGACUAAGACGUAGAUAGGUCAGGUGUGUAAGUGUAGUGAUACAUUGAGCUAACUGAUACUAAUGAACCGAGAGUCUUAACCUUACAAC
Molecule: ribosomal RNA, 234 nt
Filed under: Gilliamella apicola
Lineage: Bacteria; Pseudomonadati; Pseudomonadota; Gammaproteobacteria; Orbales; Orbaceae
Description: partial 23S ribosomal RNA
Rfam family: Bacterial large subunit ribosomal RNA
Source: RNAcentral